UGCAGGGGUCCCCACAAGUAUUGAAUACCAUAAACUUAUUCUUGAUAUUGAGGACUUCAAAAAUGGGAAUGUAGAUACUGCUUUCAUUCCCAAGCAUGAACAAGAGUUGGCAGAGGUAUGACUUUCAAACAAGAGUUGUUCCAGUGUUGCUGUUCUGGAGCAUGCUAAAACACGGAAGUAAUUGAGCUCCUGCUGACGCUAUUAGAAAUGCGUUCAAAUUGGAGUUUAAUGAUGAAUGUAAUGUGAGUUUUCAGUAGUACUUCUUUAUUUGGCCUCUAUGUAUCUUAAUAUUUUCUUACUUUGAAUCUGUGGGAUCCCAGCAAAAUAUGAAGUUUCAGGGUUGUCUUUGCAAUUGAUUAUUACUAUUAAAUUGAAGAACAAAAAAAAAAAUGAUGAUCCAUGAUUUUGAGUGGAAGAUAACUUGAUUGGGGUACUAGGGAAUUAAGUAGAGGUGAGGCCUUGACUGAGUGUGAACGUCAAAAUCUCAAGAAGUAGCAGGUCAGAAUUUUUUAUCAAGAUUUAUGCUCCAAUCAGAGGUAAAAUUUUCAUCUUUUAAGUACAUGCGUCUGCUUAUGCUUUUCACACUUUCUGGACUAUACUUUUCUUUUUUCCUCAAAGUUCGAAUAUAUACAUAUUAGUGCAGAUACAAUCUGUUGUAAGACUUCGACAAACCGUGCUUUAUAAGUAUUUAGGGUCUUAGGGAUACUUACAAUGAAGGUAUUGAACAAUCUCCAGUAGGUUGCCUUGAGUCUUAUGGGUUUUAGAGUAAUAUUUAAUAAAUAUGUUGCUUGGAUGUUCUGAAAAACUAAUAAAUAAAGUAGUUAUUGGUAUGAUUUUUCAAAAUUAUUAAUUUCACUACUAAAAUUUCUAAAAUCAAAAACCUAAUGAUUAUGUAUAUAUGAUGAAUAUUUCAUGUCAUUUGGAGUUCAGUUCAACAACGAUCCAGUAUUAAUCUCGGAACAUAACCAAGCAUACUCUACCCUGGUAUCUACAAGAGCGUCCAUGAAUAUGGCAGUCGAUAUUGCAGGGGUGGAGUAUUUGGAGUAUACCAAGGGGUAAGUAACCAUGAGGAAUUGCACAAUUUAAUGAAAGCAACACUCAUGAAACACAGACUUAAGAAGGAUGUUCUUUCUGAGCCACCUGUAAAACGCAGGCCGCAAGUAAUUCGCUGCACCACAUUGUUGUUCAUGCUUUCUAGUGUUCAUCUCUUUCUAUGUUUUAAUAUCUUGACUCUUCAUAACCAUCUUUUAAAUUAGUUCUCUGAAAAAAAGUUCUUUUUUAUGCGAAAGAUAUGCUCUUACUUUCCCCAGGCUUGAUAUUAGCCAAAGUUCAAUGUGGAUGACCUUAUUUUAUGGGAGAGAUCGUAAUGUGUUAACUCUAUGGUUUCUGAUUGCUGGAUGAUUUUAGAAAUUGUAAGUGUCAGGAUGUAUGGAGUUAGUUGAGAAAUUUUCGGAGUAGUUUUACAUGUUGACAACUCAAUAUGUUCCUAGUUAUGAUGCAAUUAUAUAUGUCAGCCUAUAUACUUCUAUAUUUUAUUAAA
Molecule: long non-coding RNA, 1540 nt
Organism: Beta vulgaris subsp. vulgaris (sugar beet)
Lineage: Eukaryota; Viridiplantae; Streptophyta; Magnoliopsida; Caryophyllales; Amaranthaceae
Exons: 3
Source: RefSeq, a predicted model, not a curated record